GUAGGUGGCAAGCGUUGUCCGGGAAUUAUUGGGGCGUAGAGCGCGCGCAGGCGGUUCGUUUAAGUCUGAUGUGAAAGCCCACGGGCUCAACCGUGGAGGGUCAUUGGAAACUGGAGAACUUGAGUACAGAAGAGGAAAGCGGAAUUCCACGUGUAGCGGUGAAAUGCGUAGAGAUGUGGAGGAACACCAGUGGCGAAGGCGGCUUUCUGGUCUGUAACUGACGCUGAGGCGCGAAAGCGUGGGGAGCAAACAGGAUUAGAUACCCUGGUAGUCCACGCCGUAAACGAUGAGUGCUAAGUGUUAGGGGGUUUCCGCCCCUUAGUGCUGCAGCUAACGCAUUAAGCACUCCGCCUGGGGAGUACGGCCGCAAGGCUG
RNAcentral lists this ribosomal RNA (375 nucleotides) under uncultured organism. RNAcentral describes it as "partial 16S ribosomal RNA". It matches the Rfam family "Bacterial small subunit ribosomal RNA", at positions 527 to 896 of the family's 1533-position model. The record is from RNAcentral.